This 704-nucleotide long non-coding RNA is filed under the name Solanum tuberosum (potato). RNAcentral's name for it is "long non-coding RNA (STUB_LNC000883)". The record is from RNAcentral. Lineage: Eukaryota; Viridiplantae; Streptophyta; Magnoliopsida; Solanales; Solanaceae.
UUUAAUUUCAUCUUGCAUUAUUAUUUUGAAUAUCAGCACAUGUUUGAAUGAAAUAAAAAAAAUGAAGCAUCCGGGUUAGCUUCCUUAUCCCUUUCUUGUCAAGGUGUGAUCUUAUGUGUUCUAUGACUCGUUUGAAAUUCGUGUGUUUGUUGUGAAUAUUUGUUAUGUUUCUAUAUAAUUAUUAUUAUGCUAUGAUCUAGUGUUUGGUAUUAUUCUGUUUAACAGGUUUUGAACUCAAGUUCAAGAAUGAAAGAGUCGCUUAGGGCGGGAUACCGAAUAUAAGCCAUUUUUGUUUAGUAGUUUACUUUCGGUUUGUAUCAUGUCGUUUACAAUUUGCUUUUGUUCAGGGUUUUUGUAAUAUUUUGUAUAACUCUCUAAACCCUAUAUAUGAUAUAAUUUGGGGAUCGUCUAAGGGGGGAGGGAAAUUACGUGCUAAUUGUUUUCUUUCUUUUUAUUAUUAUUCCGUUUCAUAUUAAUAAUGCGUGAGGUUGUUAAAAUCUGUAUGUCAAUUAAAAUGAUAAUUUAGGCAAGCACACUAGAAUAUAGUUUAAAUAAGUGGUUUAAAACCAACCUUUAUUUGUAACUUUAUCCGGUCAAUCAACUUAAUAUAAAUAUAUGUCAAAAUUUUGACUCUUAGAGUCUCGCCUUGCUUGCCAAUUUUGUUAAAGUGUGGAAAAUUGACUAAUAAUUAUUAGACACCAUGC